RNAcentral lists this ribosomal RNA (228 nucleotides) under uncultured bacterium. RNAcentral's name for it is "partial 16S ribosomal RNA". It matches the Rfam family "Bacterial small subunit ribosomal RNA", at positions 118 to 348 of the family's 1533-position model. The record is from RNAcentral.
UGAGCAAUCUGCCCUUCUCAUCGGAAUAAGCGUUGGAAACGACGUCUAAUGCCGAAUACGACCUCCUUUCGCAUGAUCGGAGGUGGAAAGCUCCGGCGGAGAAGGAUGAGCUCGCGGCCUAUCAGCUAGUUGGUGUGGGUAAUGGCCCACCAAGGCGACGACGAGUAGCCGGCCUGAGAGGGUGACCGGCCACACUGGGACUGAGACACGGCCCAGACUCCUAGGAGG